CAGACAAAGGCACAGCCGGCGAAAGCCGGUGUCGCAAAGCUAUGGGUCUAAACGGCCAUGAGCCGCACGACAGCCGGGCUGCCUA
RNAcentral lists this non-coding RNA (85 nucleotides) under human gut metagenome. Its description in RNAcentral is "Cyclic di-GMP-I riboswitch". It matches the Rfam family "c-di-GMP-I riboswitch aptamer". Rfam says of the family: GEMM was predicted in a large-scale screen for bacterial structured RNA regulatory elements. Genes associated with GEMM are involved in a diverse array of functions, including chemotaxis regulation, signal transduction, secretion and chitin. The record is from RNAcentral.